RNAcentral lists this ribosomal RNA (345 nucleotides) under uncultured Bacteroidota bacterium. RNAcentral's name for it is "bacterial SSU rRNA". It matches the Rfam family "Bacterial small subunit ribosomal RNA", at positions 22 to 366 of the family's 1533-position model. The record is from RNAcentral. Lineage: Bacteria; Pseudomonadati; Bacteroidota.
GCUCAGGAUGAACGCUAGCUACAGGCUUAACACAUGCAAGUCGAGGGGUAGCAGGGUAGCAAUACCGCUGACGACCGGCGCACGGGUGAGUAACACGUAUCCAACCUUCCCAUAACUCAGGGAUAGCCUUUCGAAAGAAAGAUUAAUACCUGAUAGUACUUAAGAAAGGCAUCUUUUUUAAGCUAAAGAUUUAUUGGUUAUGGAUGGGGAUGCGUUCCAUUAGAUAGUUGGUGAGGUAACGGCUCACCAAGUCUUCGAUGGAUAGGGGUUCUGAGAGGAAGGUCCCCCACAUUGGUACUGAGACACGGACCAAACUCCUACGGGAGGCAGCAGUGAGGAAUAUUG